This 402-nucleotide ribosomal RNA is filed under the name uncultured bacterium. RNAcentral's name for it is "bacterial SSU rRNA". It matches the Rfam family "Bacterial small subunit ribosomal RNA", at positions 355 to 776 of the family's 1533-position model. The record is from RNAcentral.
UUAGGAAUCUUCCCCAAUGGGCGAAAGCCUGAGGGAGCGAUACCGCUUGAACGACGAAGCCCUUCGGGGUGUAAAGUUCUGAACUGGGGACGAUAAUGACGGUACCCAGGUAAUAGCACCGGCUAACUCCGUGCCAGCAGCCGCGGUAAUACGGAGGGUGCGAGCGUUACCCGGAUUUACUGGGUGUAAAGGGCGUGUAGGCGGUUUCUCAAGUCCGAUGCUAAAGACCAGGGCUCAACCCUGGGAGUGCGUUGGAUACUGUGAGACUAGACGGUCGGAGAGGGUAGCGGAAUUCUCGGAGUAGCGGUGAAAUGCGCAGAUACCGAGAGGAACGCCAAUAGCGAAAGCAGCUACCUGGACGAUUUGUGACGCUGAGGCGCGAAAGCGUGGGGAGCAAACCGG